RNAcentral lists this transfer RNA (60 nucleotides) under Gasterosteus aculeatus (three-spined stickleback). It matches the Rfam family "tRNA", at positions 1 to 58 of the family's 71-position model. From Rfam's summary of the family: Transfer RNA (tRNA) molecules are approximately 80 nucleotides in length. Their secondary structure includes four short double-helical elements and three loops (D, anti-codon, and T loops). The record is from Rfam by way of RNAcentral. Lineage: Eukaryota; Metazoa; Chordata; Actinopteri; Perciformes; Gasterosteidae.
GGGCUAGUGGCGCAAUGGAUAACGCGUCUGACUACGAAUCAGGAGAUUCCAGGUUCGACU